AGUGAACGCUGGCGGUAGGCCUAACACAUGCAAGUCGAACGGCAGCACAGUAAGAGCUUGCUCUUACGGGUGGCGAGUGGCGGACGGGUGAGGAAUACAUCGGAAUCUACUUUUUCGUGGGGGAUAACGUAGGGAAACUUACGCUAAUACCGCAUACGACCUACGGGUGAAAGCAGGGGAUCUUCGGACCUUGCGCGAUUGAAUGAGCCGAUGUCGGAUUAGCUAGUUGGCGGGGUAAAGGCCCACCAAGGCGACGAUCCGUAGCUGGACUGUGAGGAUGAUCGGCCACCUUGGAGGUGGGACACGCUCCAGACUCCUACGGGAGGCAGCAGUCUUCAAUAUUGGACAAUGGGCGCGAGCCUGGUCCAGCCGUACCGCGUGGGUGAAGAAGGCCUUCGGGUUGUAAAGCCCUUUUGUUGGUAAAGAAAAGCAGCAGGUUAAUACCCCGCUGUUCUGACGGUACCCAGUGAAUAAGCACCGGCUAACUUCGUG
Molecule: ribosomal RNA, 492 nt
Filed under: uncultured bacterium
Lineage: Bacteria
Description: partial 16S ribosomal RNA
Rfam family: Bacterial small subunit ribosomal RNA
Source: RNAcentral